CCUACGGGGGGCAGCAGUGGGGAAUAUUGCACAAUGGGCGAAAGCCUGAUGCAGCAACGCCGCGUGGGUGAAGAAGCGCCUCGGCGCGUAAAGCCCUGUCAGCAGGGAAGAAAAUGACGGUACCUGAAGAAGAAGCCCCGGCUAACUACGUGCCAGCAGCCGCGGUAAUACGUAGGGGGCAAGCGUUAUCCGGAUUUACUGGGUGUAAAGGGAGCGUAGACGGUAUGGCAAGUCUGAUGUGAAAACCCGGGGCUCAACCCCGGGACUGCAUUGGAAACUGUCGGACUAGAGUGUCAGAGAGGCAA
Molecule: ribosomal RNA, 305 nt
Filed under: uncultured bacterium
Lineage: Bacteria
Description: bacterial SSU rRNA
Rfam family: Bacterial small subunit ribosomal RNA
Source: RNAcentral